Molecule: long non-coding RNA, 1445 nt
Organism: Scylla paramamosain (green mud crab)
Lineage: Eukaryota; Metazoa; Arthropoda; Malacostraca; Decapoda; Portunidae
Exons: 2
Source: RefSeq, a predicted model, not a curated record
UAUGUAUGCACUUUGUGAUAUCAUGUUCAUAUAGUUAUCUAAUGUAUUAUUAUGACUGUGUGUGUGUGUGUGUGUGUGUGUGUGUGUGUGUGUGUGUGUGUGUGUGUGUGUGUGUGUGUGUGUGUGUGUAUGCUUGUGCGUGUGUGUUUGUGCGUGUGUGUGUGCGUGUCACCGUUCCUGGUUGCUUGGCGGAAAGGUUCUCAUCUCAAAAGACCAAAGGUAACCUUGAUCGGCGCCCUGCACACCAACACACGGGCGAGUCCUUAUCAAGUCAACAAAGAGCUGAGCGACUUUCCUCAUUCAAAUAAAAAGAAACUUGUCCUCCAUCUGUGAGAGCCAUCAGGAGCCGCCGGUGUGUGUCCUGCAGCCUGAGCCACUCGUACAGGCCUGCAGGCUCCCCCAUCAGUAUCCCUCGUAGCGUGGAAGGCGUCACCGCUGCGUCAACACCACUUCAUACUAUUUUUAUUGACACAAGAUUUGACGCACAACGCCGCCUCUCUUUCCAGGGCAGAUCGCAGGACACCUCACGGCUCAGGCCGACUCCAGCCGGCUUCCAGCCCAUCUUGAGGGAGAGCGGUGGGUGCGGCGCGGCGCAGGGCAUCUCACCCACGCCGUCACGUGGCAGCCAGACCUGUCACCCAAGGCCGCCACGGACUGGUCCUUACUCAGGCCCGUAUUCCGAAACGCUCUGCUCUCCCGAGCGUAGAAAUAUUGUAAAAACGGUCAUUAAAACUCGUGUAACUUUAACUAGAGUCUUUUGAAAGUAGUGUGGAUGCGGCGCGGAGUUGUUUCACAAUAUGGUCCUCACUCACACAAACAUCACUUCCUCUCCUGAUCCACAUCUCGCUGAUAAAACAGAAACGUAAUCAGUGAAAAAAAAAAAAUAUCAUCACCGUUGUUUGGGCAGCAGAACCGUUCCUGAUAAUGACUACAUGACACUUAACGUCUCAUAAAAGAUUACACUAUUCUAAAUGGACGAAAAUAAAACGGCAAGCAAUAAACUGUUUUACAUAUUCCGUCACUCCUGCUGCUGUCAGUAUUGUCUUUCAAAACAACAGUCUAAACAUUCUCUUAAGGUUGACACGAAGGCAAGGCAGUCAAAUGGUUAAACAUCAGAGUGCAACACACAACAGCUCCUCGGCUCCAUGCCACACGGCCCGCAUGAGUGAGUAUGGUUGCGUCACCGUGCAUGUUUACAGUCUCAGCUGCAGGUCUACCCACCUCACGCCGCCGGUUCUCGGAGCACCGGCAUGGCCACAUUUCUGAGGAAUGACUGACGUAACAGACGUGCCGCGUGGUGCAAUAAUAUCACACCACAGGACAUACUUUUCCUGUUUCGUGUGUGUGUGUGUGUGUGUGUGUGUGUGUGUCCGGCAGUCAGUUACUUAAUUAGUCUGUCAGUACGUUCGUCAUUUAUUUAAUUGGUCAGUCUGUCUUUCUGUCAA